AUUUAAGUGCAUGUUUGAGAAAGAAUAUAAACUAUGACCAAUCAAUUGAGGCGUCUCAAUACGGUCUACAGGGCAAAGACAUACAUGGUCACCGAAUGCAAUGAAAUUUAUAUUUGCAGGGAAAUGACAGCGGCCAGAUGCAUUCUGCCGGGAACCAGAUUUUAAGCAACGCUGUCCUCUCCUGGUACAAGCCUUUACAAAACCCACUUGAGCCUCUGUGCCCAGUCUGGACACACUCGUCUGAUUUCACAGUGAGCCAGGGAACUACUGGAGCGUGAAGAACUUUCCAUCUUUUCCUCCGUUCUGUGGUUCUGGGUUUUCACUUGAAACUCUUCAUCCAUUUGGAAUCGACUUUGGCCCCUAACGGGCCGGUUCCCAGGUGGUAGCAGGAGCCCCGUCUCACCAGCGUGGGAGCGCAGCCGGGAGGCUCAGGCGGCCAAGGUCAGACAGAGAGCUGGGGGACCACACGGACUCAAGUCCAGUUACUCUUUACUAGACUCCAGCUGCCCCACAGGAGUCUUCGUUUUCUUAAGCCCUCACCUAAAAGCUCUGAAAACAUUAUGGAACGGACUAACUAUCAAAAGAAGCCGAUUAUUCAGGGAAAGUAAUUUCAUGUGAUCGCCAGAUCUCAUCGUGGAGAAUAUCCCAUCUCAGCUUUUCUGGGGAAGGCUCUCACAGACGUCAAGUGUGUGUUCUGGAGAACAGCGG
This 708-nucleotide long non-coding RNA is filed under the name Lynx canadensis (Canada lynx). Its description in RNAcentral is "lncRNA (ENSLCNG00005019537.1)". The record is from RNAcentral. Lineage: Eukaryota; Metazoa; Chordata; Mammalia; Carnivora; Felidae.